UCACCCCUCAAGCCCGGCUUGCUGUUGGUGGUGGCGCGGCCCCCUCCCGGGCCGCCGCCCCGUCCAAAGAUAAUGACGGCGUCUGUGAGGACUCCUGUACACUGAGCUUUCGGGCACGUACACGGUUAGAAAUUCAGACGCCGGUCGCCGCCUUCCCCCCGGGGGAGGCACACCUUUCAUACCAA
Molecule: unclassified non-coding RNA, 185 nt
Filed under: Cyphellophora sessilis
Lineage: Eukaryota; Fungi; Ascomycota; Eurotiomycetes; Chaetothyriales; Cyphellophoraceae
Description: partial internal transcribed spacer 2
Source: RNAcentral